AAUCUCUAAAGAAAUAAGGAAUAUCGAAAUCUAUUUUACACUAUGUAACGUGUCCUUAAUCUCUCUUUGAACAACUUGCAUUGACGAUCUUUGCCAGAUCCGGGUCAACUAUUUCCGCAACAAAAUUCUUCAAAAUCCGCCUCAACCAUUUCUACUGUGAUUUCUGCUUUCUCUCACUCUUCAAUCCGCGUUCCAAUUAUGUUUGGUACUUUCAGGUUUGUGAAUUGGAAAAUAGGAAGUGGAAUUUUUGAAGUAAGGGAGUAACUGAUUAGGAGAAUGUGGGGUACACUCACUUGCACAUCACAACCACUGAUGAGUUACUUCCUUGGUACUUUCAAAGCUGCGUACAACUGAUUUGGUGAGUGGUUUUCUUGGAGUAAAUUACCAUUUUGUCCCUAAAAGUAUAGGACUUUUGUCUCUUAUUAAGUCAAAAUUCGAAAUUAGUCCUCGCAUGAUGUUAGUCACUUAUACCCCUUACUUUAUAAUAAUCAAAUACUAUUUUGAUACUAAAUUAUAUUUUGUAGAUAUUUUUAUGAUAGUAAAUUGUAUCUUUUAAGAAUUAUUUGGAUUGUUUCAGAACUAAUUUUAGUUUUUGGCUGAGUUAGAGAUUAAAGUAACAUUACUUUUAAGAACUAAAAUGGUGCUUUAUCUUGUGUCCAAUGGUA
Molecule: long non-coding RNA, 665 nt
Organism: Cicer arietinum (chickpea)
Lineage: Eukaryota; Viridiplantae; Streptophyta; Magnoliopsida; Fabales; Fabaceae
Source: RefSeq, a predicted model, not a curated record